UACGUAGGGGGCAAGCGUUGUCCGGAUUUAUUGGGCGUAAAGAGCGUGUAGGCGGCUUUACAGGUCCGUUGUGAAAACUCGAGGCUCAACCUCGAGACGCCGGUGGAAACCGUAAGGCUAGAGUCCGGAAGAGGAGAGUGGAAUUCCUGGUGUAGCGGUGAAAUGCGCAGAUAUCAGGAGGAACACCGGUGGCGAAGGCGGAUCUCUGGGCCUUACCUGACGCUGAGGCGCGAAAGCUAGGGGAGCGAACAGG
This 253-nucleotide ribosomal RNA is filed under the name uncultured bacterium. RNAcentral's name for it is "partial 16S ribosomal RNA". It matches the Rfam family "Bacterial small subunit ribosomal RNA", at positions 524 to 776 of the family's 1533-position model. The record is from RNAcentral.